GGCCUUCGGGUUGUAAACUGCUUUUGUACGGAACGAAAAGGCCCUGGUGAACAACCGGGGUUGCUGACGGUACCGUAAGAAUAAGCACCGGCUAACUACGUGCCAGCAGCCGCGGUAAUACGUAGGGUGCGAGCGUUAAUCGGAAUUACUGGGCGUAAAGCGUGCGCAGGCGGACAUGCAAGACAGAUGUGAAAUCCCCGGGCUCAACCUGGGAACUGCAUAUGUGACUGUAUGACUGGAGUACGGCAGAGGGGGAUGGAAUUCCGCGUGUAGCAGUGAAAUGCAUAGAUAUGCGGAGGAACACCGAUGGCGAAGGCAAUCCCCUGGGCCAGUACUGACGCUCAUGCACGAAAGCGUGGGGAGCAAACAGGAUUAGAUACCCUGGUAGUCC
Molecule: ribosomal RNA, 391 nt
Filed under: uncultured bacterium
Lineage: Bacteria
Description: bacterial SSU rRNA
Rfam family: Bacterial small subunit ribosomal RNA
Source: RNAcentral